RNAcentral lists this long non-coding RNA (213 nucleotides) under Aquilegia coerulea. RNAcentral describes it as "long non-coding RNA (ACOE_LNC000436)". Lineage: Eukaryota; Viridiplantae; Streptophyta; Magnoliopsida; Ranunculales; Ranunculaceae. The record is from RNAcentral.
GGGGAUUGGAGGGAGGGGCAGAGAAGGUUGCUGGUGGGGGAGGGGGAAGAGAAGGUAGAUGGUGGUGGUAGGGAAGAGGGAAAGAAGGUUGCUGGUGGUGGUGAUGGAGAAGGAGGUUGCUGGUGGUGGUAGGGGAAUGGAAAGGGGAAAGAAAAGAUGGUGGUUGUGAUGUGAAGUAGGAGGUUGCUGGUGGUGGUAGGGGAAGGGAAAGGG